CAAUCCUGCAGGACAAAAACACCAUGAGCCAUUUUAGAGCACUGCAGGCAGUUUUAAACACACACCAGACCUUGGGUUUAGAUAACAAACUGUAAGGGAGCACCACCUGCUUAAUGCAACUGUACUUGGCAAGCUUUGGUAUUUACCAGCACCAGAGCUGUCAGCAGUACCCGCCUGCACUUCCCCACUGCUUAGUCAGGAAAACUGCCUUCUGGAAGUUGGAAUCCUCCAGGAUGUAGAGUUCACAGUUACAGCUGCCACCUCAUACAUUGUCACAGCUUUGCUCACACUACACACUGUUAUCUAGGCCUUAAAGCCUUGACAGAUCAACUGCACGAUCUUGACACUGCAUUUAGUCCCUACAUGUUUGUUAAAUUAUAUUCUAGAUCUAAUCAUCAUUUUGUACACAAGACAGUCUUAAACCCACUUGUAAUUUGAUCAGAGCUAGUAAUUUGUAGACCUACUAUACACCAACUUUAUGACCAGUAUGCAUGUUACAAAAUUCAAGUAUCUCUGAUUGAAAAGAGAGAUUAUUAAAGAGCUUUUGAGUUUUCAGAUUUUUCUGGAAUACACUCACAGAAAAAUAUCAUGACCACACCAGCAGGUGAUCUAGAGGCUGUUAUUAAGUGGUCAAGAUGAUAGGAGCUCUCCAGCACCAGAGUUCAGGGAAGAACCUUGCACUUACAAGUAUGGGACCCAAGCUAACAAACAAAAACAAUUAAUCCUCCCUCACUUUUCUGUAAUUUUCUAUUAAGUAGUGAAAUUACACUUAACUACUUGCUCAGUACUCCUAUAUUAAUUUCAGUAUUCCAUGUAGGUUAUUCUAUAGCUAACUAAGACUUGGGUUUCCCAAAUGCAAUGAUUUCCCUUUCACACACAUGAAAUGGAGAGAAAGUACACUGUGUACAAGACUUGAAAAUUCACUUUCCAACAAACAGGUACAUUUUUCUCCAAAGCAAGCUUCAGUUGCUUAUUUCAUUUACAGACAGAAAAAAGUUACUAGAGAGACUUCACUUAAACACUGCCUAGGAAAGCACACUAAGCAGAUGCUAGGUAAAAACCUUUCAUAACAUCUGCAAAACUAAAAUUCUUCCCAAUUCCCAGUUAUAAGCUUCACAAUCACUAGACACCAAGCACACUUUUCUUCCAGAAGUUCAAGCUGACUGGGCAGACAGCAGUCAAGGACCAUAAUAAAAGAAGAGACAGAGAACCCAAAAAAGUAUUUCAAAAUGCUUUUAAGCAUUCAGAGAAAUCACGUAAUAUGAUGAACAUAAUAACAGAAGUAAAACAUAAAAACAUGUAUCACUGUAUGUGUGUGUGCAAAGAUACAGUAUAUUUAUAAGCAUGUAACUAUAGGUAUGGUAAGUCUCUACAUACAGUUUCAUAUAAAUAUAUUUAUAUCACUUACCUCUUUGUAGUAAUUUUUCUGCCAUUAACUAUUUUAGUUGAGGUUGAUACUGAUUUGAAGUUUCCCAUUCCACUGCCACCAAAUGACGUAGAGGAGAAUGACGAAGUAAUGCCUCCAUGUCCCAGGGAGCCAAACGAAGAAAAACCUAUUGAAAAAGAAGGCAUUUGAAUAAAAUGUAAUUUUUCAUGACUGUGGGAUCCAAAUUUAUCAUCCAUUCAGACUACAUCCUACUUUCAGGAAGCCCUCUGCUGGUUUCAUCACACAGCAUCAGUGACUAGAUGGCAUUAACACCAGCCCUAGAAUAAAACCACAGCUCCAGCCCUGUACAUUUCUCUCAUAUGGACCCACAGUUCAAGUUCCAAAUGCACAGCAUUGUCCAAAAACCAUUUGUCAGCUCCUCCCCUGAAAGGCAUUCAACCUUUAUCCACACUCUGCCCUCAGGGGAAAGCCAGCAACUCUAAUGAAUCCGAUCAAAAGCUUUAGUGCAUAUGUCGGGAUGCCCCGAGCUGGCAGACAGAACAAGUCCUGCAUCAGUAACACCCCAACCGAUGCCCAGAUUCCCAGCACCCUAAGCACUACCACGGGAUUUAGGCACAUGUUUUUCAGGAUCUGUAAUAAAAGCCAUCACACCCCUGAAAGCAAACAGAACAAAAGAAUUCUAGUGCCAUGAUAAAACUGUAGCACCAAAAUAAGGAAGCAGGAAGUUCUACUUCUUAGAGAUCUGUUCACUAUAUAUGAACUUUCAAGUAGCCCAAAUACUUAAUUUACACUUACAUCUUACAGACAGCAGCUUAAUUAAAAAAAAAAAAAAAAAAAAAAAAGAGUCCUAGAAUUGCCUGAAUGGAGAAGCCAGCUUAUUAUAUUGCAAUCCUUUAUGAGCCAAAAUCACAUUCCUUCUUAAAUGUGAUGAUAUUUACCUGUGUCAAAUGGAGAGAAACCACUUCCAAAAGCAGGGAAUCCACCAAAGGCAGAGAAAAAUGAUCCACCACCACCUCUGUUUCUGCUUCCCCUUGGACCCCGCCUGCCACCGAAGAAGUCCUCAAAAGGGUCUU
Non-coding RNA from Taeniopygia guttata (zebra finch), 2460 nucleotides. The record is from RefSeq and is a predicted model, not a curated record. NCBI's taxonomy places the organism in Eukaryota, Metazoa, Chordata, Aves, Passeriformes, Estrildidae.